This 8196-nucleotide long non-coding RNA is filed under the name Zostera marina. Its description in RNAcentral is "long non-coding RNA (ZMAR_LNC000213)". The record is from RNAcentral. Lineage: Eukaryota; Viridiplantae; Streptophyta; Magnoliopsida; Alismatales; Zosteraceae.
GUUGGAUGAAAGUUGUUGAGAAAUCAAAGAAUAUUAGGUUACUGGAUGAGAGGAAGACGCCUAUGUUGGUGAAUUGGGCUGAACAAUUCCAAGCUCACGAAGUUGUCAAGGGAAUGAUACCCGAACCAGACAAGUUGUCUAAGACAAUUGAUGAAAAAACAAUAGACGAUUCCAAACAACAAGAUGAAAUUGAUCGAGCAUUUAUCUAUGCUAGGCAAUUGACGUUCAAUCAUGCUCUCUCAAUGACCUUGAAAGUUGUCAUUGAACUGGGUGUGCUUGAUGUUAUUGCGAAUGCUGGUUUCGACAAAUUCCUCUCCCCAAAAGAGAUAGCAAGUGAAUUAUCGAUUGUCAACCCUGAUGCUCCCAUCAUGCUCAAUCGCAUGCUUAGACUACUUGCCAGCCACAAUAUCGUCAUCUGCAAAUCAAAAUCAUAUAGUAAUUGUGAUGAAAACACCAUAGUUGGUACUACGUUAUAUGGUAUUGGCCCUAUAUCUAAGUAUUUUGUCAAAAAUGAGGAUGGUGUUUCACUAGCUCCCAUGCUUGCCGCAAUCCAAGAUAAGGUUUACAUGAAAAGUUGGUAAGCUAUUUUUUUAUCAUCUUUAAUUCCAACUUUAAGAAAUCAAUCAUAACAUGUUAUAUUUAUAGGAAAACAUAAGAUAGUUUGAGACAUUUGAAACUAGGCCGUCCAUUUGAGAUAUGUAUCAUAUUAUACUUAUAUUUAAUCAUAUUAUACUUAUAUUUAAUCAUAUUAAAGAAACCAUUAGAUUUAAAAUUAACGACAUAAAUAUUGAAGAUAUCUCUUAUAAUAUCUCAAGAUUUUUUUUAUAGGUACUACUUGAAAGAAGCAGUGAUGACAGGUGGUAUUCCAUUCAACAUGGCGUACGGAAUGUCAGCUUUUGAGUAUCAUAGUAUAGAUGUGAGGUUCAAUAAUCUAUUUAAUAAAGCAUUUUUUAAUAUGACAAUCCUUAUGAAGAAAAUUCUUCAUUUAUAUAAUGGAUUUGAGAGUAUCAACAAAUUGGUUGAUGUUGGUGGGGGCACUGGAGCCAAUCUAAACAUCAUAAUCUCGCAACAUCCAACCAUAAAGGGUGUCAACUUCGACCUUCCUCAUGUCAUCAAAAAUGCCCCCUUAUUUAAAGGUAACAUAAUAUAUCCAGAAUCAGUAUAUAAUUGAAUGUUUUGCGGAAACUAAUUAUGUAUGAUUGUGUUCUGUUUUACAGGAGUGAAACAUGUUGGCGGAGACAUGUUUGAGAAGGUUCCUAGUGGUGAUGCCAUUUUUAUGAAGGUAUAUAUCUUAAACUGGCCUUUAAUUUUCCAUAUAUUGAUUCUAACCCAGAUAAGUACAUCACUGUUUUGUUUUAUGCAGUUUAUCCUACAUGAUUGGAGCGACGAUCAUUGUGUGAAGUUAUUGAAGAAUUGUUGGAAACAACUUCCAAAAAAUGGAAUGGUUAUCGUCUGUGAAUUUACUAUUCCCGUUGAACCACAAGAAGAUAAUUCAGCUUUCUAUAGUGAUAUGUCGAUGUUGACACUAAAUCCGGGAGGUAAGGAGAGGACUGAAAGUGAAUAUAGUUUACUGGCGAAGAAAGCAGGAUUUGUCGAUUUCAAAGUUGCAUGUGAUGUAUAUGGAAUGUACAUCAUGGAAUUCAGUAAGUAGUUGCACGCCCAAAUUUCUUCCUUAUGUGGAAAUACUAAAUAAAAUUAAAGCUUAUAUACACAACUUGAUUAGUCCAGUUGGUAACUAUCACUAUUAAGGUGGACGAACUGUUAAAGGUCCAGGGUUUGAGUCUCAAUGUAUGUAUUUUAAUUUAUAUUUACUUUUGUAUCAGUUUAUCAAAAAAUAAAAAUGUUUGCAAUAUAUAUAUAUAGAGAAAAAAUCAGGAACGACCCUGAUCGCACGGUGCCCUAAAACGGUACCUGCCCCCUCCGCCUUGCGAUUCCACAUCCACGGUCGUCUCCUCUCCAAGCCAACGUAUCUACCGAUGGCCAAUCUACCUCUAACAGAGUAAUGUGAGAUACUGUCAGUAACUGCGAUUUCGGUCCCGCAACAGAGUAACUGCGAUUUCGGUUCCGCGGAACCCAUCGCGAGUUCCGCGGAACUCGAUCGCGGUUCUGCGGAACUCGAUUUCGCAGAACCGGAACCGAAAUCGCGAUAGUGAGGGCCUCUGACACUGGCAGUGUGCCGGAAACGAAUCUUGCUGCGAAGAAGCCAAAGAUCUUAGUUGCCGGAGGCGGAAUCGAUUUGAGUACCAACUGCACAAACAUCGGUUGGUGUUCUUUUCCACCACUGGAAGCCUCAAUUGCUUUUUUCCCAACAAUCAUCUUGGUUUUGUGGUUGAAAUAACGCAGACCCCAAAGACCUUUAUUCAGAGCAGUUGAACUCGCACCCAAUUUUGAUGCAUACAUCUCUGCAAACUGAGCAAUGCCGAAUCCCCAACCAUCUAGCGCACAGACGAAGACCACAUUUCCUUUCUGUGGCUGGAACGUAUCUGCCUCAUUGUCUUCCUCCUCUACGAAUUCUUCUCCUACAGUGCUGGAUCCAGUGAUGAAGAGAUCCACAUCAGAGAGGUACUUGACAGAUUUAAACCCACUGAUAAUUCCAUUGACAUCGUGAAUAAUCCUUUGCAAUUUCGUAUAGGCUUCCAUCGGACUCAACUUUAACUCUGUGAUCAAUCGAUCGAUCUUGUUGAGGACGAGACAAGGAGUCAACUUCUCAAUCCAUGCCUGACGGAGAGCAGCAUGGGUUUGGAUAUGAACACCUUCGACGGAAACAACCAGAACCAAAGCCCCAUCACUUAAUCUGGCGGCAGUGGACACCUCGCUGCAGAAGUCGAUGUGUCCAGGGGAAUCAAUAAGGUUUAUGGAAUGUUCACCGUAUUUCAAUAAAAUAGAAGAGCUUUUCAUUGUGAUGGCUCGCCGUUGUUCCGCGGAACUCGAUCGCGGUUCCGCGGAACUCGAUCGCGGUUCCGCGGAACUCGAUCGCGGUUCCGCGGAAUCGGAAUCGGACCGCCGUGGAAUCGGAAUCGGAACGACGCGGAAUCGGAACGUCGUGGAAUCGGAAUCGGAACGACGCGAAAUCGGAAUCGGAACCGGAACCGUACGGAUCGAGGAGGGGAACGCACGGUGCGGACGGGCCGUGCCAGAUGUUUUUCCUAUAUAUAUAUACGUGUCUAUAUUUAUAUUUGUUUAAGAUGAAUGUCUAUAUACAAUUUCCAUUCUCAUAUAUACGUGUAUUAGGUCGUGGUAGGGGUGAGAAUGGUCCCGGGUCACCCCUUAGACCCGUCUCGUACGUUCCGUGUCUUGGUGGGAACAGGAUCGAGGUAGGAUUUUGCCCCGAAUUUUUUUUCCCGCCUUGUUGCUCCGGUCAUUUUAUGGAGCAGGUGUUAGGGCAGGGAAAACUAUAAUUUUCCUUUUAUUUUUAGCCUCGAUCAUAUUUUCGAGGGCGGGUCUCAGAGCUUGUAAAUGGUACAUCAAAAUUUGAAUUCGAGUUUGAAUUUUUUUAAAACUAUUUGAAUUUGGUUAUUCAAAUUUCAAAUGCGAAUUCAGUUUUCAAUUUUUGAAUCCGUGAAAUAUUUGGUCGAAUAUACGAAUUCAAUUCAACAAUUUGAGGUAUUAGACAUCUCAACUAAUGAUCAUAUAAUACAAAACACACCAAAAAAAGAGAAACAGUCCUCAAUCAACAAUGACCCAAUAACAUCAUUGGUGACUAAGAUAAGUAUCUCAGACAAACAAAAACAUUAUGAAAAAUCUACUAGUCCAAAAUAGCAAACAAAAACACUCUUCUGGACUAAUUAGAGAAUGAGAAGAACAUAUCCAAAUCUGAAUUGGGAGAGAAAAUUAAAAGCACAAAGAUGUCAAAAACAUUAAAAUCAAAAAGGUGAGAAGACCCUUCAAAAAGACCAACUAAAUAUGAUGAUAUCUAUUGUCCUAGUUUCAAAGAAACCAGAAAAUGAAAGUAUAUCAAAUCACAGGUUUAAUGAAAAACAUAAAGAUUUUGUGAAAACAAUCACAAAAGAAACAAAAUCAAAACAUUACCAUCAUGCCAAGUGUUACCCAAAAUGGCGUCAGACUAUGAAUGAGGAAAUGUUGGCUCUUAAAAAGAACAACAUAUGUUCCAUAUAUAGUACCGUUACCAUCUAACAAAAAGCCCAUAGGCUCAAGAUGGAUAAAAUAAAAUACAAAUCUGAUGAGACCAUUGAGAGAUACAAAGCUCGACUACUAACCAACUCAAUACCCAAACUAGUAUCAUUCAAAACACUAUUAACCAUAGUGGAAGACUUAAAUGAAGCUCCAUCAAAUGGAUGUAUACAAUGCAUUCUUGCGCACAUGAAGACCCAAAUGAGGAAAUAUAUAUGAUUAUAGCCCAAAUGCAUGUUCUGGAUUUUUAUGGCCAAAAGAUUUUUCAUUUUUCACAACACACCAUAAGACCAAAAACUGAUUCUUUCAACAUGCAAGGAGUAGCUCUUAAAUGAUUUUUAUGGAUGGAGUCCAGCAACUAUCUGACUACAUGGCUUGCAUUUGUCAAGUCUAUAUUAAAGAAAUUUAAUCCAACUACAUGCACCACUCCAGGUGGAAAACUCAGUAAAUUUGUUUCAAACAUCAACAGUUGCUGAUUUCAUGGAGAAAUUUGAAGAUUACUCAUCAAAAGUAAUAGGAAUCCCUGAUUAGCUAUUAUUAAAAUGUUCCUAUCAUGCCCAAAGGAUGAUAUUCAAAAAGAUGUAGUGACACAGCAAAACUUGAAGAUUUACCAGAGGCUAUGAUCAAGGUGGCUAUUCAUCUUGAAAAACAGGGAACAAGAAGCACUUCAACCUUCAAACAAGGAGGAUACAAAUCCAUCCAUGAAAGGCAAUAUAUACUACACCAAGAAUAAUAUUAAGUGAGUAUAUAACUCUAAUAUGGCCAGCAACACAAUCACCAACACUCCCAAAACAGAAAAUCUAAACCCAAAUUUCAAGAGCCUCACAUUUGCUGAGAGAAAAAAAAGAACUUCCAAAGGGUUAUGCUUUAAUUAUGAUGAAAAAUUCUCACCGAGACACAAAUGUAGAGGAAAAUUAUUCAGAUUUUCAGAUAAAAACAACACCUUCUGAGAACUAGCAGAUACAGAUGAAGGAGAAGAAGAAGCUGGAAUUAAAAUUCUGAAGAUCGAGGAAGAGUCUGAAAUCAGCCUUCAAGCAUUACAGGGAAGAAUUGGCAUAAUAAACAUCAGACUGGAAGGCUUCAUCAAAAGCUUUAAGACAGACCUUUCAAUCAAAAUGGAACAUACACAAGAAUGGUGGUAGGAUAUUGGAAUAUUAAAAUACAAAUCACUUCUUACUUUCUUUGUAGAUCUUAGAAGAUUAGAAGUACAAGUGUUGAACCGUAGAUCUCGAUCUUUUUGAAAGCUUUUUGGUGCUAGACCACAACUUGAGGGAUGAAUGAUUGAACUCAAAGAUUGAAGAUUUGAAGAGAGUUUGGAAGCUCAAAAACGUUGUAGUGUGUUGGCUUCAAAUGAUGAAAGUUUCCCUCUAUUUAUAGAAAAAUAAAUUCUUCAAAUGAUGUAGUGUGUCACUUGAUUGAAGUUUGGUUUGAGCAGUCUUGACUUUUAGAUUUUUGAACAACGGUUUUAUGUUUUCUCGCUACAGUCCAAAAACAAUUGACUUUUGAGAUUUCUUUUUUUAAUUGCCUAGGAAAUUGAUUCCUUUUGAAUAAGAGAAUGUCGGUUGACCGCAUAUUGGAUUUUGACUUUUGGCGAAUCGAAUACCUAAGUUUUUGGUUCGGUUCGUAUAAAUAAACAAGCCUACUCUUAGAUUUGAGUUCGUUUCCGAACCUAAUUCGAACUGAAUUCGAACUGAAUCCGAAACGAACCGAAUAGUUCGUCGAAUACCGAACUUUUGUUGCAAUUAUGGUAAAUUAAAUACAAUAUCAAUUUCUGCAUCUUGUAGAGAGAGAUUCCCCCUCUUUUCUCUAUAACAUAUUAUUCACUAUUAAUGAUCCAAUAAUAGUACUAUAUAAUCCAAGCUAUCUUAAUCAUAAUGAUCAAAAAAUCCCAGAGGCCCACUCCUUUUUUUUUCCACCUACUCUACUAAGGGUGAGAAUAGAUCCCGAUCCGUCCCGUUUCACGUCCCGAUCGUCAAGACAGAAAAGUAGGGUACCUGACCGGUCCGUUUUGGAAAAACGGGACGGGACCACCCCACCCCACCCGCGAUUCGUCCCAUUCUCAUCUCUACCUACUACGUACUCAAUAAUUGGAUCAAUGCUUCUUCAAUCUCGAUAAAAUAUAUUAUUUAUGAUUCAAAUGAUAGAGAUAUUUUAAAAACUUUACAAAAUUUAGAUUUUUUAUUCAAUUUGUGUAAGUUAAAAUUCAAGUUCGAACCCAAGCUUGUCGAUUUUGCUAAUGAAACGAGUGGUUGAGGAAUUGUCCAGGAAGAUAAAACCUUAUGGUUUUACUAGUUUUUCAUUUCUUCUUUCCUCUUCAAUUAUUCAGACCACUUGGACAUAUUCCGAGCCACAUACAAAUUCAGAAAUUUGUACCUAAUUCAACUAUAAAUAGAUGAAGAUUGUAGUGUUCUUCACCAUCAAUUGCGAAAACUUAAAUUCUAUGGAGAAAGAAGAAGCAAGGCUUGUGGGUUUUUCGGCAAGUCCAUUUGUGUUAAGAACAAUAAUAGCCUUGAAGAUCAAAGGAAUUCCAUAUGAGUUUGUUGACGGAGAUAAGAGAAACGAGUUUCCAACACUUCUUCACGCUGGUAAUGUCGUAUCAAAGUCUUUCAAAAUAGUUGAGUACCUUGAUGCAACAUGGAAGGCCGAGGAUCGCCCUCUCAUCUUGCCGGUCGAUCCUUACGACCGUACUAUUGUGCGAUUUUGGGCUACAUAUAUUGAUGACAAGGUAUAUAAUUAUGUAAGCAUUUAUAUUUUAGUUAGAUAUGCAAACAUGUUUGUAAGUCUUUUUUACCCAUCUAGUUAAUUAAGGUAGAUAAAAACCCGAACCAAGACUUUUAGUUUCGAUUUGGUUCAACGAUCUUAUAAUUAAAUUUUUAGACCCAAAAUCUUAUAAUUAAAUCAUAAUUAAAUUAAGUUUAAAAAGUAAUAAUCUAUUAAAUGUUAUUAAUUUAAAUCAGUGACAUGAUUUUUUACCGGUUAAAAGAUAAGAAAGACCGACCGAGGUUUUUCACCCCAACUCAUAUCUUAAAAGUACAUCCUCUAAAGAUACGUAUGAUCAAUAUGGGAUAGGUAGAGUAGAAAAUAUAAAAUGAAAAUAAUGUAGGUAAACUAGCUUUAGGACUGGGGGCAAAUGCACAUCACCAAAAUUUAAGGUUUAGAGGGGAGUAGUAUAUAUGUUCAAUCUACCUUCUUUUUGAAAAUCAAUAAAUUUACAACUGAUUUCAAAUUAAAAAAAAUACUAAUUUCAAUUAGUGGGAUCCACCUGCGGAAUUGGUCCUAGCUAGAUUAACAAUUUAAUGGUUAUGGGCUUGGUCUGUUUUAGAAACAAACUAGUUCUAAUUAAAACCAGCAAACCAUGCCCAUUAUGCAAAUUCACCUAUAUCUAUUAUAAAUCAAUUCUACCCAGAAUUCCAUGAUUAUUUAUUUAUUUACUUAUUUUUCUUGCAGAUUUUAUCGGCCAUGAAAUUGAUAAUAAAAGGAUCGACAAAGAAGAUUGAAGAAGAAUUUCAUGAGGCAAUGCAGGUUUUGGAAAGUGUUUUCAAAAAUGAAAGUCAAGGUCAAAGCUUCUUUGCAAAGGGAAAUAUCGGAUAUAUUGACAUAUCUUUGGGGUCAAUAUUGGGUUGGAUGAAAGUUGUUGAGAAAUCAAAGAAUAUUAGGUUACUGGAUGAGAGGAAGACGCCUAUGUUGGUGAAUUGGGCUGAACAAUUCCAAGCUCACGAAGUUGUCAAGGGAAUGAUACCCGAACCAGACAAGUUGUCUAAGACAAUUGAUGAAAAAACAAUAGACGAUUCCAAACAACAAGAUGAAAUUGAUCGAGCAUUUAUCUAUGCUAGGCAAUUGACGUUCAAUCAUGCUCUCUCAAUGACCUUGAAAGUUGUCAUUGAACUGGGUGUGCUUGAUGUUAUUGCGAAUGCUGGUUUCGACAAAUUCCUCUCCCCAAAAGAGAUAGCAAGUGAAUUAUCGAUUGUCAACCCUGAUGCUCCCAUCAUGCUCAAUCGCAUGCUUAGACUACUUGCCAGCCACAAUAUCGUCAUCUGCAAAUCAAAAUCAUAUAGUAAUUGUGAU